AAGAAAGGAUACAAAGAGAAGAUG
This 24-nucleotide non-coding RNA is filed under the name Arabidopsis thaliana (thale cress). The record is from RNAcentral. Lineage: Eukaryota; Viridiplantae; Streptophyta; Magnoliopsida; Brassicales; Brassicaceae.